This 494-nucleotide ribosomal RNA is filed under the name uncultured bacterium. Its description in RNAcentral is "bacterial SSU rRNA". It matches the Rfam family "Bacterial small subunit ribosomal RNA", at positions 903 to 1397 of the family's 1533-position model. The record is from RNAcentral.
AAAUGAAUAGACGGGGGCCCGCACAAGCGGAGGAGCAUGUGGUUUAAUUCGAUGAUACGCGAGGAACCUUACCAGGGCUCGAACGCAGGAGGAAUACUCCCGAAAGGAAGUAGCCAGAAAUGGCCGCCUGCGAGGUGCUGCAUGGUUGUCGUCAGCUCGUGCCGUGAGGUGUCAGGUUAAGUCCUAUAACGAGCGCAACCCCUAUUCAUAGUUGCCAGCAUAUUACGGUGGGGACUCUAUGAAAACUGCCUGCGCAAGCAGUGAGGAAGGUGGGGAUGACGUCAAAUCAGCACGGCCCUUAUGUCCUGGGCUACACACGUGCUACAAUGGCCGGUACAGAAGGCCGCAACCACGCAAGUGGAAGCUAAUCCCUAAAACCGGUCUCAGUUCGGAUUGGAGUCUGCAACCCGACUCCAUGAAGCCGGAUUCGCUAGUAAUCGCACAUCAGCCAUGGCGCGGUGAAUACGUUCCCGGGCCUUGUACACACCGCCCGU